UGUGUGUGUGUGUGUUUCUGUUGACGUGGUUUAUGCAGAAGACACAGGGCGCAGGAGUAAAUCCUCAUUUGCAACCCAGAACUCACUGUUCAGUGUGAGUUUGGAUACCCGUGAGAAGGGAUACG
Phodopus roborovskii (desert hamster) is the source of this 125-nucleotide small nucleolar RNA. RefSeq annotates it as small nucleolar RNA SNORA40. NCBI's taxonomy places the organism in Eukaryota, Metazoa, Chordata, Mammalia, Rodentia, Cricetidae. The transcript has a single exon. The record is from RefSeq and is a predicted model, not a curated record.